GUCCUUUAGGUAAUAAUAAUUUAAGGUCUAACCUGCCCAUUGAUAAGUUAAAAGGCCNCAGUAAUUUGACUGUGCAAAGGUAGCAUAAUCAUUAGUUUUUUAAUUAAAAGCUUGUAUGAAUGGUUGGACGAGAUAAAAUCUGUCUCUAUAUAAAAAAUAGAAUUUAAUUUUUAAGUUAAAAAGCUUAAAUUUAUAUAAAAGACGAGAAGACCCUAUAGAUCUUUAUAUAAUUUUUUAUAGUAUUAAUAAAGGUAAAUUUAAUUUAUUAUAAAAAAUUAUAUUUUAUUGGGGUAAUAAAAAGAUUAAUAUAAUUCUUUUUUAUAAUACAAUAGUUAUUGAUUUUAUGAUCCAUUAUUAAUGAUUAUAUGAUUAAGUUACCUUAGGGAUAACAGCGUAAUUUUUUUAAAGAGUUGUUA
This 416-nucleotide ribosomal RNA is filed under the name Hydroporus sp. IR32.5. RNAcentral's name for it is "partial 16S ribosomal RNA". The record is from RNAcentral. Lineage: Eukaryota; Metazoa; Arthropoda; Insecta; Coleoptera; Dytiscidae.